GUUUUUUCUUAAGAAAGAACUUACUCUAAAGAACUUCAUGUACAGAGCAGUCUAGCAGAAUCUUGAAAAAUCUCCAAGAAUCAAGAAUGUCAACUUCGGAUGUUGCUUCCAUGAGAAGUCUAAGUGAAAUUUCUGAGGAAGAAACUGUACGGUUGAGUAUCGAUCUUGUAGCUGCUGCAAGACGAAAUCUUGGGUUCUUGAGACUUGUAACAG
Molecule: unclassified non-coding RNA, 213 nt
Filed under: Hevea brasiliensis (rubber tree)
Lineage: Eukaryota; Viridiplantae; Streptophyta; Magnoliopsida; Malpighiales; Euphorbiaceae
Source: RNAcentral